This 555-nucleotide ribosomal RNA is filed under the name Enterococcus faecalis. RNAcentral's name for it is "bacterial SSU rRNA". It matches the Rfam family "Bacterial small subunit ribosomal RNA", at positions 93 to 634 of the family's 1533-position model. The record is from RNAcentral. Lineage: Bacteria; Bacillati; Bacillota; Bacilli; Lactobacillales; Enterococcaceae.
GAGUGGCGGACGGGUGAGUAACACGUGGGUAACCUACCCAUCAGAGGGGGAUAACACUUGGAAACAGGUGCUAAUACCGCAUAACAGUUUAUGCCGCAUGGCAUAAGAGUGAAAGGCGCUUUCGGGUGUCGCUGAUGGAUGGACCCGCGGUGCAUUAGCUAGUUGGUGAGGUAACGGCUCACCAAGGCCACGAUGCAUAGCCGACCUGAGAGGGUGAUCGGCCACACUGGGACUGAGACACGGCCCAGACUCCUACGGGAGGCAGCAGUAGGGAAUCUUCGGCAAUGGACGAAAGUCUGACCGAGCAACGCCGCGUGAGUGAAGAAGGUUUUCGGAUCGUAAAACUCUGUUGUUAGAGAAGAACAAGGACGUUAGUAACUGAACGUCCCCUGACGGUAUCUAACCAGAAAGCCACGGCUAACUACGUGCCAGCAGCCGCGGUAAUACGUAGGUGGCAAGCGUUGUCCGGAUUUAUUGGGCGUAAAGCGAGCGCAGGCGGUUUCUUAAGUCUGAUGUGAAAGCCCCCGGCUCAACCGGGGAGGGUCAUUGGAAACU